GCCUGAGUGGCUCAGUCAGUUAAGCCUCCGACUUCAGCUCAGAUCAUGAUCUCAUGGUUUGUGGGUUCGAGCCCCGCGUCAGGCU
This 85-nucleotide transfer RNA is filed under the name Felis catus (domestic cat). It matches the Rfam family "tRNA". Rfam says of the family: Transfer RNA (tRNA) molecules are approximately 80 nucleotides in length. Their secondary structure includes four short double-helical elements and three loops (D, anti-codon, and T loops). The record is from Rfam by way of RNAcentral. Lineage: Eukaryota; Metazoa; Chordata; Mammalia; Carnivora; Felidae. RNAcentral also lists the same sequence under 2 other names.